RNAcentral lists this ribosomal RNA (652 nucleotides) under uncultured bacterium. Its description in RNAcentral is "bacterial SSU rRNA". It matches the Rfam family "Bacterial small subunit ribosomal RNA", at positions 232 to 898 of the family's 1533-position model. The record is from RNAcentral.
CGCGGCCUAUCAGCUAGUUGGUGGGGUAAUGGCCUACCAAGGCAUCGACGGGUAGCUGGUCUGAGAGGACGAUCAGCCACACUGGGACUGAGACACGGCCCAGACUCCUACGGGAGGCAGCAGUGGGGAAUCUUGCGCAAUGGGCGAAAGCCUGACGCAGCAACGCCGCGUGCGGGAUGAAGGCCUUCGGGUUGUAAACCGCUUUCAGCAGGGACGAAAUUGACGGUACCUGCAGAAGAAGCCCCGGCCAACUACGUGCCAGCAGCCGCGGUAACACGUAGGGGGCGAGCGUUGUCCGGAUUUAUUGGGCGUAAAGAGCUCGUAGGCGGCUCGGUAAGUCGGGUGUGAAACCUCCAGGCUCAACCUGGAGACGCCACCUGAUACUGCUGUGGCUAGAGUCCGGUAGGGGAGUGUGGAACUCCUGGUGUAGCGGUGAAAUGCGCAGAUAUCAGGAAGAACACCAGCGGCGAAGGCGGCACUCUGGGCCGGAACUGACGCUGAGGAGCGAAAGCGUGGGUAGCAAACAGGAUUAGAUACCCUGGUAGUCCACGCCGUAAACGUUGGGCACUAGGUGUGGGUCUCAACCAACGGGAUCCGUGCCGCAGCUAACGCAUUAAGUGCCCCGCCUGGGGAGUACGGCCGCAAGGCUAAA